CAUGGCCUUUAUAUCCUGGGCUACACACACGCUACAAUGGGCGGUACAAAGGGUAGCGAUGCCGCGAGGUGAAGCCAAUCCCAAAAAGCCGUCCACAGUUCGGAUUGGAGUCUGCAACUCGACUCCAUGAAGCCGGAAUCGCUAGUAAUCGUGGAUCAGCAUGCCACGGUGAAUACGUUCCCGGGCCUU
RNAcentral lists this ribosomal RNA (189 nucleotides) under uncultured Desulfobacterium sp. Its description in RNAcentral is "partial 16S ribosomal RNA". It matches the Rfam family "Bacterial small subunit ribosomal RNA", at positions 1194 to 1382 of the family's 1533-position model. Lineage: Bacteria; Pseudomonadati; Thermodesulfobacteriota; Desulfobacteria; Desulfobacterales; Desulfobacteriaceae. The record is from RNAcentral.